Molecule: ribosomal RNA, 253 nt
Filed under: uncultured bacterium
Lineage: Bacteria
Description: partial 16S ribosomal RNA
Rfam family: Archaeal small subunit ribosomal RNA
Source: RNAcentral
UACCAGCACCCCGAGUGGUCGGGACGAUUAUUGGGCCUAAAGCCUCCGUAGCCGGUCCUACAAGUCUUCCGUUAAAUCCACCUGCUUAACAGAUGGGCUGCGGAGGAUACUAUAGAGCUAGGAGGCGGGAGAGGCAAGCGGUACUUAGUGGGUAGGGGUAAAAUCCGUUGAUCCAUUGAAGACCACCAGUGGCGAAGGCGGCUUGCCAGAACGCACUCGACGGUGAGGGAUGAAAGCUGGGGGAGCAAACCGG